AGUGAACGCUGGCGGUAGGCCUAACACAUGCAAGUCGAACGGCAGCACAGUAAGAGCUUGCUCUUACGGGUGGCGAGUGGCGGACGGGUGAGGAAUACAUCGGAAUCUACUUUUUCGUGGGGGAUAACGUAGGGAAACUUACGCUAAUACCGCAUACGACCUACGGGUGAAAGCAGGGGAUCUUCGGACCUUGCGCGAUUGAAUGAGCCGAUGUCGGAUUAGCUAGUUGGCGGGGUAAAGGCCCACCAAGGCGACGAUCCGUAGCUGGUCUGAGAGGAUGAUCAGCCACACUGGAACUGAGACACGGUCCAGACUCCUACGGGAGGCAGCAGUGGGGAAUAUUGGACAAUGGGCGCAAGCCUGAUCCAGCCAUACCGCGUGGGUGAAGAAGGCCUUCGGGUUGUAAAGCCCAUUUGUUGGGAAAGAAAAACAGCAGGUUAAUACCCAGCUGUUCUGACGGUACCCAAAGAAUAAGCACCGGCUAACUUCGUG
This 492-nucleotide ribosomal RNA is filed under the name uncultured bacterium. Its description in RNAcentral is "partial 16S ribosomal RNA". It matches the Rfam family "Bacterial small subunit ribosomal RNA", at positions 29 to 507 of the family's 1533-position model. The record is from RNAcentral.